This is a long non-coding RNA of Gavialis gangeticus (Gharial), 94 nucleotides long. RefSeq lists it as uncharacterized. The transcript has 3 exons. The record is from RefSeq and is a predicted model, not a curated record. Lineage: Eukaryota; Metazoa; Chordata; Crocodylia; Gavialidae.
UGGGGAAAGGGAGAUUGCAGAGAAGCAGGGGAAGGAAAGUGCACUUUUAUUGCCAGGAAAAACUAGAUGGGGCUUGGCUACAAAGUGUUGUAGA